AUACGUAGGUGGCAAGCGUUGUCCGGAAUUAUUGGGCGUAAAGAGCGCGUAGGCGGUUAUGCAAGUCAGGCUUAAAAGUUCGAGGCUUAACCUCGUGAUGGGAUUGAAACUGUGUAACUGGAGUAUCGGAGAGGAAAGUGGAAUUCCUAGUGUAGCGGUAAAAUGCGCAGAUAUUAGGAGGAACACCGGUGGCGAAGGCGGCUAUCUGGACAGUAACUGACGCUGAGGCGCGAAAGCACGGGGAGCAAACAGGAUUAGAUACCCUGGUAGUCCGUGCCGUAAACGAUGAAUACUAGGUGUAGGGGGUAUCGACUCCCUCUGUGCCGCAGUUAACACAUUAAGUAUUCCACCUGGGGAGUACGGCCGCAAGGUUGAAACUCAAAGGAAUUGACGGGG
RNAcentral lists this ribosomal RNA (396 nucleotides) under uncultured bacterium. Its description in RNAcentral is "partial 16S ribosomal RNA". It matches the Rfam family "Bacterial small subunit ribosomal RNA", at positions 523 to 918 of the family's 1533-position model. The record is from RNAcentral.